GCCCCAGUGGCUUAGAGGCAUAGCGGCUGACUUGUAAUCAGCAGGUCGCGAGUUCAAAUCUCGCCUGGGGCU
RNAcentral lists this transfer RNA (72 nucleotides) under Methanofollis fontis. It matches the Rfam family "tRNA". Rfam says of the family: Transfer RNA (tRNA) molecules are approximately 80 nucleotides in length. Their secondary structure includes four short double-helical elements and three loops (D, anti-codon, and T loops). Lineage: Archaea; Methanobacteriati; Methanobacteriota; Methanomicrobia; Methanomicrobiales; Methanomicrobiaceae. The record is from Rfam by way of RNAcentral.